Molecule: long non-coding RNA, 295 nt
Filed under: Olea europaea (common olive)
Lineage: Eukaryota; Viridiplantae; Streptophyta; Magnoliopsida; Lamiales; Oleaceae
Description: long non-coding RNA (OEUR_LNC010885)
Source: RNAcentral
CAUAGAUGAACGUGACACCAUUCAAUAAAAUUCAUUAUGUGAUAGAAAAAAUCAAGGAAGACAAACCAAAAUAUAUAUAAAAAAGAGACAGAAAUAACAUAAUAUACGGCAGAAAGGGGAGAGUGUGGUGGUCAACCUCUGAUUCUUAAUCUCCAUUAACAUGAAAAUUGUAUCACUUCCCUAGUGAAAAUACAAAAUUGAAACAAAGAAGAAUAGCAUUUAAAUAUGUCAUCAAGAGAAUCAAUUGAAACCAAAAGCUUAUCUCUUCAUGCAUUCCUAACUCAUCAUUUUUUUU